AGUGAACGCUGGCGGUAGGCCUAACACAUGCAAGUCGAACGGCAGCACAGUAAGAGCUUGCUCUUACGGGUGGCGAGUGGCGGACGGGUGAGGAAUACAUCGGAAUCUACUUUUUCGUGGGGGAUAACGUAGGGAAACUUACGCUAAUACCGCAUACGACCUACGGGUGAAAGCAGGGGAUCUUCGGACCUUGCGCGAUUGAAUGAGCCGAUGUCGGAUUAGCUAGUUGGCGGGGUAAAGGCCCACCAAGGCGACGAUCCGUAGCUGGUCUGAGAGGAUGAUCAGCCACACUGGAACUGAGACACGGUCCAGACGCCUACGGGAGGCAGCAGUGGGGAAUAUAGGACAAUGGGCGCAAGCCUGAUCCAGCCAUACCGCGUGGGUGAAGAAGGCCUUCGGGUUGUAAAGCCCUUUUGUUGGGAAAGAAAAGCAGCAGGUUAAUACCCCGCUGUUCUGACGGUACCCAAAGAAUAAGCACCGGCUAACUUCGU
Molecule: ribosomal RNA, 491 nt
Filed under: uncultured bacterium
Lineage: Bacteria
Description: partial 16S ribosomal RNA
Rfam family: Bacterial small subunit ribosomal RNA
Source: RNAcentral